Molecule: non-coding RNA, 183 nt
Filed under: Nitrospiraceae bacterium
Lineage: Bacteria; Pseudomonadati; Nitrospirota; Nitrospiria; Nitrospirales; Nitrospiraceae
Description: 6S RNA
Rfam family: 6S / SsrS RNA
About the family: E. coli 6S RNA was the first non coding RNA to be sequenced, but its function was unknown until recently. It consists of 184 nucleotides that fold into an extended hairpin structure with a large single-stranded internal bulge. The 6S RNA specifically associates with RNA polymerase holoenzyme containing the sigma70 specificity factor.
Source: RNAcentral
GUUUGCCUGCCUUGUUUGUGAUAGGAGUUAAAACUUAUUCCGACAUUCGAGAAUCCGGGAGCCAGCGAACCGCAAGUGUUGUGCGCCCUGAAAUUUUGGGGAUUAAGCCUGAUCUUGCACUCAAGGCGCCCACCUGUUUAACAGGGAUUCAAGUUUUAUUCUACACGGCAAGGUGGGUUUCCU